RNAcentral lists this ribosomal RNA (472 nucleotides) under uncultured bacterium. RNAcentral describes it as "partial 16S ribosomal RNA". It matches the Rfam family "Bacterial small subunit ribosomal RNA", at positions 28 to 507 of the family's 1533-position model. The record is from RNAcentral.
GACGAACGCUGGCGGCGUGCUUAACACAUGCAAGUCGAGCGGAAAGGCCCUUCGGGGUACUCGAGCGGCGAACGGGUGAGUAACACGUGAGUAAUCUGCCCUUGGCUUUGGGAUAACUACCGGAAACGGUGGCUAAUACCGGAUACGACAACCGUCUGCAUGGGCUGGUUGUGGAAAGUUUUUUCGGCCAGGGAUGUGCUCGCGGCCUAUCAGCUUGUUGGUGGGGUAAUGGCCUACCAAGGCUUCGACGGGUAGCCGGCCUGAGAGGGUGACCGGCCACACUGGGACUGAGACACGGCCCAGACUCCUACGGGAGGCAGCAGUGGGGAAGAUUGGACAAUGGGCGGAAGCCUGAUCCAGCAACGCCGCGUGAGGGAUGACGGCCUUCGGGUUGUAAACCUCUUUCAGUACCGACGAAGCGCCGAUGAUGGUGGUGACGGUAGGUACAGAAGAAGCACCGGCCAACUACGUG